RNAcentral lists this long non-coding RNA (239 nucleotides) under Gossypium raimondii (Peruvian cotton). RNAcentral describes it as "long non-coding RNA (GRAI_LNC009357)". Lineage: Eukaryota; Viridiplantae; Streptophyta; Magnoliopsida; Malvales; Malvaceae. The record is from RNAcentral.
AAUUUUAAAAUAAAAAAACACGUGGUACACAAUUUUAUGCAAUGUACGUAAUUUUAUUCAUGCAUGCACAUUACACGUCCAAAUUGAGAUAGGGGUAUAUGAAUGAAAUGCUAUGCUUCCUCAACCAAAUUAUUGAAUAAUAGCUUAAAUAAAAGAAAUGAAAAAACCUACUAGGACUAAUUUAAAAACAAAAGGAAAAUUAAGAGCAAAAACUGCAAAAUCCUAGAAACAAGAAGCAC